RNAcentral lists this ribosomal RNA (483 nucleotides) under uncultured bacterium. Its description in RNAcentral is "partial 16S ribosomal RNA". It matches the Rfam family "Bacterial small subunit ribosomal RNA", at positions 30 to 507 of the family's 1533-position model. The record is from RNAcentral.
UUGAACGCUGGCGGCAGGCCUAACUCCUGCCAGUCGAGCGGAUGAAGGGAGCUUGCUCCUGGAUUCAGCGGCGGACGGGUGAGUAAUGCCUAGGAAUCUGCCUGGUAGUGGGGGAUAACGUCCGGAAACGGGCGCUAAUACCGCAUACGUCCUGAGGGAGAAAGUGGGGGAUCUUCGGACCUCACGCUAUCAGAUGAGCCCAGGUCGGAUUAGCUAGUUGGUGGGGUAAAGGCCUACCAAGGCGACGAUCCGUAACUGGUCUGAGAGGAUGAUCAGUCACACUGGAACUGAGACACGGUCCAGACUCCUACGGGAGGCAGCAGUGGGGAAUAUUGGACAAUGGGCGAAAGCCUGAUCCAGCCAUGCCGCGUGUGUGAAGAAGGUCUUCGGAUUGUAAAGCACUUUAAGUUGGGAGGAAGGGCAGUAAGUUAAUACCUUGCUGUUUUGACGUUACCAACAGAAUAAGCACCGGCUAACUUCGUG